UACAGAGGUGGCAAGCGUUGUUCGGAAUUACUGGGCGUAAAGGGCGCGUAGGCGGCCUACUAAGUCAGACGUGAAAUCCCCCGGCUUAACCUGGGAACUGCGUCUGAUACUGGAAGGCUUGAGUAUGGGAGAGGGAUGUAGAAUUCCAGGUGUAGCGGUGAAAUGCGUAGAUAUCUGGAGGAAUACCGGUGGCGAAGGCGGCAUCCUGGACCAUUACUGACGCUGAGGCGCGAAAGCUAGGGGAGCAAACGGG
This 253-nucleotide ribosomal RNA is filed under the name uncultured bacterium. RNAcentral describes it as "partial 16S ribosomal RNA". It matches the Rfam family "Bacterial small subunit ribosomal RNA", at positions 524 to 776 of the family's 1533-position model. The record is from RNAcentral.